UAGGGUUACAGCUCUUUUAGAAUUUGUCUAGCAGAUUUUUCAGUAAAAAAAAAAAAAAUACAA
This 63-nucleotide small nuclear RNA is filed under the name Nomascus leucogenys (northern white-cheeked gibbon). RNAcentral describes it as "U7 small nuclear RNA". It matches the Rfam family "U7 small nuclear RNA". From Rfam's summary of the family: Animal histone pre-mRNAs are spliced by a different mechanism than nuclear pre-mRNAs and self-splicing introns. This processing involves the U7 snRNP, which contains only one RNA species: U7. The record is from Rfam by way of RNAcentral. Lineage: Eukaryota; Metazoa; Chordata; Mammalia; Primates; Hylobatidae.